This 991-nucleotide long non-coding RNA is filed under the name Cricetulus griseus (Chinese hamster). RNAcentral's name for it is "lncRNA (ENSCGRG00015042511.1)". The record is from RNAcentral. Lineage: Eukaryota; Metazoa; Chordata; Mammalia; Rodentia; Cricetidae.
GAGGGUUUUGUAAUGUGUAAUCAAACCUGGUUGAAUCUGUUAAAACUCUCAGCAGGCCAGUGAAGAUGAACAGAUUCUCUGGUCCCAAUUAGGAACCCAGCCAUGGCUCUGGAAUGGACUAUCCAGUGGCUCAUUGUCAUGGAGGAAGCAGUCAUUCAAUCUCCCCUCCUCUUUGUCAUUUAACACACUUCAAAAAGAGGUGGAAGCUGAUUACUUCCUUUAGCCAUGGCAUUGAGUAGCUCUGACAGCUGCUGGCUCUCAGGAUGACCUUAAAUUCACUGUGUAGCCAAAGAUGACUUUGAACUUCUGAUCCCCCUUUCUCCAUCUCCUGGUUGAUGGGAUUCCAGGUGUGCACCACCACACCCAGUUUAUGCUGGGAACUGAACUCAAGGAUCCUGUGUGUCAGGAGGGCAUGAGAAGACAAGAGUAAGUAAGUAGCAAUGUGUUCUACCCAUGUGUGAAACUGAAAGAGAAGGUGCAGACUAAAGGGGAAGAUGCCUGCAGGUGUAAUGUGAGGCUCUGCAGUGCCCCAAGGAAGACCUGGACAAGAUGGACAGUGGAGCUGGAAGGGGAGAUGGGAGCUAGAGGAAGAUGCUCCGGACUUGUUAUACGGUUGGCGAAGAGGUUCGGGGGACAGACUAAAGUCAAAAUUUCAAAAUGUCAUGGUUCAGAGACUCUCCUUCCCAGAAUUUGAGAAAUUAAUUGUUGAGAAACCAUUAUCUUGGCAGAAGAAAUCACAGAGUAUAUCUGGAAAUUUUGUGGCUUGAAAACUUAAGCAAAUGGGCCUACCUGUUCAGGUCCACUGGGUAAAUACAGUGUUUUCCUGGUCUAGACUUGCAGGUUGCUGCUGGGUGGAAUUACUGGCAGAGUUACAACAAACAUUUUUUUGAAUGCAUAAAAGCAAGGAAAACUAUCAUGAAUGGUUCCAAUUCAUAUUAACAUCUCACCAGUUCAGCAAUAUGCACAAUACCAAUAAAUAUUUCCUUUUUCU